AGAACGAACGCUGGCGGCAGGCUUAACACAUGCAAGUCGAACGCGUGUAGCAAUGCACGAGUGGCGCACGGGUGAGUAACGCGUGGAUAUCUGCCUUUUGGUUCGGAAUAACCCCGGGAAACUGGGGCUAAUACCGGAUGGUUCCUACGGGAUAAAGAUUUAUCGCCAAAAGAUGAGUCCGCGUACGAUUAGCUAGUUGGUGAGGUAAUGGCUCACCAAGGCGACGAUCGUUAGCUGGUCUGAGAGGACGAUCAGCCACACUGGGACUGAGACACGGCCCAGACUCCUACGGGAGGCAGCAGUGGGGAAUAUUGGACAAUGGGGGCAACCCUGAUCCAGCCAUGCCGCGUGAGUGAUGAAGGCCUUCGGGUUGUAAAGCUCUUUUGGCGGGGACGAUGAUGACGGUACCCGCAGAAUAACGCCCCGGCUAACUUCGCGCCAGCAGCCGC
Molecule: ribosomal RNA, 449 nt
Filed under: uncultured bacterium
Lineage: Bacteria
Description: SSU rRNA
Rfam family: Bacterial small subunit ribosomal RNA
Source: RNAcentral